GAUGAACGCUAGCGGCAGGCCUAACACAUGCAAGUCGAGGGGCAGCACAGAAACAGCAAUGUUUUGGUGGCGACCGGCGGAUGGGUGCGUAACGCGUAUGCAACCUACCUUUAACAGGGGGAUAACGGAGAGAAAUUUCCACUAAUACCCCAUAACAUCGAUCAAGGCAUCUUGAUUGGUUGAAAACUCAGGUGGUUAAAGAUGGGCAUGCGUUGUAUUAGGUAGUUGGUGAGGUAAUGGCUCACCAAGCCUACGAUACAUAGGGGGACUGAGAGGUUAGCCCCCCACACUGGUACUGGGACACGGACCAGACUCCUACGGGAGGCAGCAGUGAGGAAGAUUGGUCAAUGGGGGCAACCCUGAACCAGCCAUGCCGCGUGCAGGAAGACGGCUCUAUGAGUUGUAAACUGCUUUUAAACAGGGAUAAAGCACAGUAUGUAUACUGUGUUGAAGGUACUGUAAGAAUAAGGAUCGGCUAACUCCGUGCCAGCCGCCGCCGUAA
RNAcentral lists this ribosomal RNA (502 nucleotides) under uncultured bacterium. RNAcentral describes it as "partial 16S ribosomal RNA". It matches the Rfam family "Bacterial small subunit ribosomal RNA", at positions 28 to 523 of the family's 1533-position model. The record is from RNAcentral.